This 465-nucleotide ribosomal RNA is filed under the name uncultured bacterium. RNAcentral's name for it is "partial 16S ribosomal RNA". It matches the Rfam family "Bacterial small subunit ribosomal RNA", at positions 338 to 795 of the family's 1533-position model. The record is from RNAcentral.
CCUACUGGAGGCAGCAGUGGGGAAUAUUGCGCAAUGGACGAAAGUCUGACGCAUCGACACCGCUGGAGGUCUUCCUUUUUUCUUCUCUUCCACCUCUUUCAGGAGUGAAGAAAGCGCAUGGCGCCAAUCAGCCAUGCGUUGACGGUACCUCCAAAGGAAGCGCCGGCUAACUCCGUGCCAGCAGCCGCGGUAAUACGGAGGGCGCGAGCGUUAAUCGGAAUUACUGGGCGUAAAGCGCGCGUAGGCUGUUGUGUAAGUUGGGGGUGAAAUCCGACGGCUCAACCGUGGAACAGCCCUUGAUACUGCGCGACUUGAAUCCGGGAGAGGGUGGCGGAAGUCCAGGUGUAGGAGUGAAAUCCGUAGAUAUCUGGAGGAACAUCAGUGGCGAAGGCGGCCACCUGGACCGGUAUUGACGCUGAGGCGCGAAAGCGUGGGGAGCAAACAGGAUUAGAUACCCCUGUAGUC